CCUACGGGCGGCUGCAGUAGGGAAUAUUGGGCAAUGGACGGAAGUCUGACCCAGCCAUGCCGCGUGCAGGAAGAAGGUCCUCUGGAUUGUAAACUGCUUUAGACGGGGAAGAAUAAGGAUCAUGCGUGAUCUGAUGACGGUACCCGUAGAAUAAGCACCGGCUAACUACGUGCCAGCAGCCGCGGUAAUACGUAGGGUGCGAGCGUUGUCCGGAUUUAUUGGGUUUAAAGGGUGCGUAGGCGGGAGAGUAAGUUCGCUUUUAAAGCCGGCCGCUU
This 275-nucleotide ribosomal RNA is filed under the name uncultured bacterium. RNAcentral describes it as "partial 16S ribosomal RNA". It matches the Rfam family "Bacterial small subunit ribosomal RNA", at positions 338 to 610 of the family's 1533-position model. The record is from RNAcentral.